RNAcentral lists this transfer RNA (73 nucleotides) under Myxococcales bacterium. RNAcentral describes it as "tRNA-Thr". RNAcentral also lists the same sequence under 1 other name. The record is from RNAcentral. Lineage: Bacteria; Pseudomonadati; Myxococcota; Myxococcia; Myxococcales.
GCCGUCCAGGCCCAGACAGCGGGGCACCUCAUUGGUACCGAGGAGACGGAGGGUGCGAUCCCCUCGGACGGCU